This is a long non-coding RNA of Pteropus alecto (black flying fox), 2120 nucleotides long. RefSeq lists it as uncharacterized. NCBI's taxonomy places the organism in Eukaryota, Metazoa, Chordata, Mammalia, Chiroptera, Pteropodidae. The record is from RefSeq and is a predicted model, not a curated record. The transcript is spliced from 3 exons.
UCUAUGAAUCUGGACAAGUCACUUCUAUGAGAGUCAGCGGCCUUCAUCUGAAUUUGGGUCAUUUAAGAUAGUACCUGGCCCACAGCAUGUACUUAGGAAAUUUUUAUUCUUUUAUUAUACCUCCCUUACCUGAAAGCAAAAGCUAUUCAGGUGAACUAAAAUUAACUCGCCCUCCCCAUCUUUCUUGCUGAAUUACAAAACUAAAAGUUUUAACUUCAAUGUUUGGAUUUAAAGUAAUAUUGUUUAACAGACCAUAUGUGCAGUCCUUAGCUUUAAUGUUUUAUAUCACAAAUUCUGAUUCUUUUACUAUAAAAAGUUUAUGAUCCCAAUCAAACUAUUUUGAGCACAUAGCAGUUAUACAUUUUGUUUUGCAGGCAUGCUCUAAGAACUCCAGGGGCAAAUAUCUCUUACUGCCUUUUGCAGGUUGCAUGGUAGCCCUUUUGGUUUUCAGAUGAGCCCCCUAUUUGAAUGGAUGCAUUUUAGAAGGUGAGGGAGAGGAUGCCAAGCAGUGGCACUGAGCUCUCAGCUUCUAAAUGCAAAUCAAAUUACCAAAUUUUGACAAACUGUGAGAACAGACUAUAAAUGACCUAGCAUAGAGCAUCUAACCCCAAAUCAAGACCUUAUUCUAUAACUGGAAAUAAAAAACAAAGCAAAGGAAUGAAAAAAAUAUAUUGUUCACAAGACUUCAUGUUUAUUUAAUUUCCUACUCUUAAAGACUUGCUUGAUCUCGCUUUCCCUGUCUCAGGACGAAAAAAGGAACUUUCCAGUGGUUUUAGUAACACUGAAAUGAACCUGUACUUUCUAGAGGAGAUUGAGCUGUGGUCUUUCAGGGUCAAUGCCAGGCUGCCACUGUAUCCACUUACACCCAAGAAAGUAUUCUUUUCUUCUUAAGAUGAUGACUUUAUAUAACUAAGUUAGCAUUUUUAAGAUACUUAUUUUAAAAUUCAGCAAAUUACCUAUAUCAAAGCGUACCAUUAACCUUUUUUCUCCUCUUUGAUACAGCCGUGUUCAUUUUCUGUUGCUGCUGUAACAGCUCCUGAGGAACUAAGGCCCUCGGUCCAGCAGCCCACAAGGAACUGAAUUGUGCCAACAACCACAUGAGUGAGCUUGACAUCAGACCCACCCCAGUGGAGCCUCAGGAUGCCUACAGCCUGUGCAGGACCCUGAACAGAGGACCUGGCUAAAUGGCACCUACAUUUCUGACCCGCAGAUACAGUGAGACUAAAGCCUUCGUGUGAAUCAGAGACAGCCCAGCUAUGAGUGAAAGGCACAGCCAGCCAUACUACUCAUAGCAUAAAGCAAAGCUUUCUAAACAGUAAAACAUCCCUGGGACUUAAUGAGGACAUAAAUGAAGACUUGGCACACUGAUUCUGAAAGACUGCCAACCUCUGCACUAUCCAACAGGGAGCCAGGGCUGAUGCGUACUCGGAGUCCUGAUGGCCCCCAAUGUGUUUACCAAGUCUGGCUACUUAAACAAGUGUCCCAAGGGUCCUAAAUGGGAGGAGGUCCUUUUCUACUCAAAAGCCCUGGAAAGAAAGCAAAACAAAGGGACAGUGCAUGUCUUUGCUAAUUAAUCUUAUCACCCUGGAGUUCAGCCAUUGAUUGUGGCAGAUAAUGUUUCUGUCACACGGGAGUGAUUUCACUUUCCUCCCAAGCACUAAGGAAGACUGUAUUUCCCAAGCAUCCUUGCGUUUACACGGGGUCCGUGUGGUUAAAGCUGACCUGUAGACUAGAAGUGAUGUUCGUCACUUCCAGGCCUGGCCACAGAUUCUCUGACAUAAUCCUCCAUGGCCCCUCUCCCAUCCUGCACCAACUCUAGAUGACACAGCGUGAAGAUGGCAGUGCCGACCGUGGGAGGAAACUGGGUCGCUGAAUAACUAUUUAGUAGAGCUCCAUCUCCCUCUUUCAGUUCAACCUGCAUUGAACUUUAAUAUAGCAAUAACCUUGUUGAAUUAAGCCACUGAGAUCUAGGCAUUCUUUGUGAUAUCAGCUAGUGUUAUCUACCCCAACUAAUACACCAUACCCGUCAUGACUUGCUGGGAAUUUCCUCAUUCAGUCAGCAUUCACUAAACAGCUAAUGGCAAGAACUGUGUUAGAUGCUAUUGACAACCGAGGGAAGA